This 640-nucleotide long non-coding RNA is filed under the name Monodelphis domestica (gray short-tailed opossum). RNAcentral's name for it is "lncRNA (ENSMODG00000030528.2)". The record is from RNAcentral. Lineage: Eukaryota; Metazoa; Chordata; Mammalia; Didelphimorphia; Didelphidae.
GGCGACAAAAGCUGUAUUUUUCCAAUAUCCACGAGCGCCCCUUUAAUAACCCCCCCCCUCUCCGCGCGGCCGGCUCCCCGAUGGUCCCCAUGGCAACGCAGAUAACGAAGCAGCCAUUUUCCAUAUCUCUAUGAAAGUCUAUUAUAUUGCGGGAUUAGCUCAUCUCCUCGAGACCUCAAUUUCUGCUUUCUAUCCUUCUGAAGAUAUGUGACUAGAGCACAUCUACAGUCUUGUCCCUGAGGCUCCUUCUCUCCAUUGAUUUGAGUACCAAGGUCCAUCACUUUCUGGAGGGAAAUGCCAUCACCACCUUCUCCUCUGCUUUGGCUUGUCCAGGAAAUGAUGGUAAACUUGAUGAACAACUAUUUGGGAUAAAUUAGUUACUGGAUCACUCUGAAAAACCAGAGGUUGUCCAAAGGAUGAUGACCAAGAUGGAAUUUCCAAGGCAGAAGAGCCCUAAGGGAUAACCUAUUGGCAUUAAGUGAUUUACUUGCCAAGCUUUACCCAGCAAGGAAGUGUUUGAGAACACGUUUGAACCCAGGACCUCCUAUCUCCAGGUCUAACUUUUUAUCCACUGAGCCACCUAGCUGUUCCUGCUCACUACCUUUAAAUAUCUGAAGGGCUGCCAAAGGAAAGAAGCAGA